Molecule: ribosomal RNA, 253 nt
Filed under: uncultured bacterium
Lineage: Bacteria
Description: partial 16S ribosomal RNA
Rfam family: Bacterial small subunit ribosomal RNA
Source: RNAcentral
UACAGAGGUCUCAACCGUUGUUCGGAUUCAUUGGGCAUAAAGGGUGCGUAGGCGGUCGGGUAAGUCGGAUGUGAAAUCCCAGGGCUCAACCCUGGAACUGCAUUCGAUACUGCCUGGCUAGGGUACUGGAGAGGAGACUGGAAUUUACGGUGUAGCAGUGAAAUGCGUAGAUAUCGUAAGGAAGACCAGUGGCGAAGGCGAGUCUCUGGACAGUUACCGACGCUGAGGCACGAAGGCCAGGGGAGCAAACGGG